RNAcentral lists this ribosomal RNA (253 nucleotides) under uncultured bacterium. Its description in RNAcentral is "partial 16S ribosomal RNA". It matches the Rfam family "Bacterial small subunit ribosomal RNA", at positions 524 to 776 of the family's 1533-position model. The record is from RNAcentral.
UACGUAGGGUGCAAGCGCUGUCCGGAAUUAUUGGGCGUAAAGAGCUCGUAGGCGGUCUGUCGCGUCGGAUGUGAAAAUCCAGGGCUCAACCCUGGACCUGCAUUCGAUACGGGCAGACUAGAGUUCGGCAGGGGAGACUGGAAUUCCUGGUGUAGCGGUGAAAUGCGCAGAUAUCAGGAGGAACACCGGUGGCGAAGGCGGGUCUCUGGGCCAUUACUGACGCUGAGGAGCGAAAGCAUGGGGAGCGAACAGG